Molecule: small nucleolar RNA, 117 nt
Filed under: Zea mays
Lineage: Eukaryota; Viridiplantae; Streptophyta; Magnoliopsida; Poales; Poaceae
Description: Zm_81
Rfam family: Small nucleolar RNA Z112
About the family: Z112 is a member of the C/D class of snoRNA which contain the C (UGAUGA) and D (CUGA) box motifs. Most of the members of the box C/D family function in directing site-specific 2'-O-methylation of substrate RNAs.
Source: RNAcentral
AAAGCAACAGCUGCUUCCUCCGGCUGCAGGUGUCUAUCCUUCGACCAUAACCUCUGUGGUUUGGUCUGGGAUGGAGCACCCAUCUGUGGUUGUUGGAUUCUGGCUGUGGUGUGUGAU